Molecule: unclassified non-coding RNA, 269 nt
Rfam family: Metazoan signal recognition particle RNA
About the family: The signal recognition particle (SRP) is a universally conserved ribonucleoprotein. It is involved in the co-translational targeting of proteins to membranes.
Source: Ensembl
GCCAGGCACGGUGGCCCCAGCUCCUGGGGGGCUGAGGCAGGAGGAUCUCUUGAGCCCAGGAGUCCUGGGCUUUGGUGCGCUAUGCCUGUUGGAUGUCCGCACCAAGUUUGGCAUCAAUAUGGUGACCUCCUGGGAGCAGGGGACCACCAGGUUGCCUAAGGAGGGGUGAACCGGCCCAGAUCAGAAAUGGAGCAGGUCAAAAAACCAUAUAUGCCAAAUGAAUACAACUAUAUCAAAUCAUUCCUGAUACUUAUAACUUUUAGUUUAAU